This is a long non-coding RNA of Silurus meridionalis, 407 nucleotides long. RefSeq lists it as uncharacterized. NCBI's taxonomy places the organism in Eukaryota, Metazoa, Chordata, Actinopteri, Siluriformes, Siluridae. The record is from RefSeq and is a predicted model, not a curated record. The transcript is spliced from 3 exons.
GCUGUCUGAGAUCCUCCAGCACUGGUACAACCUUCUCUCAGAAUGAGAGGGACACUUUGUACCGCACAGAUGAUCCUGAUGAUCAGCAGCAUUAGAAGACAAACGGCAUAACUGUGCUCAGAGCUGCAUGCGGAUAGCAAUCAAUUGACCUGGAGAGCAGGUGGAAUCAGGAAACCAUCUAGAACAUUGUAGAGGUGAAUAACUGAAGUCUCCUGCAUCUUUCUUCACUAUACAGCUGAUAUCAUCGGAAUAUGUACUGAGAGGCAUGUCAGAUUUGCCCUUCACAAUGUACUUUUUUUAAAACACUGCAAAUAAAUAAGCAUGGUGUGCAUAAAGUGCCAUUUAUUUUUUAGGUAAUUUAACAUACCUGUGCUUUUUAUUCUGCGAUGAAUCAGUGACAGUGUUGG